RNAcentral lists this ribosomal RNA (291 nucleotides) under uncultured bacterium. RNAcentral's name for it is "partial 16S ribosomal RNA". It matches the Rfam family "Bacterial small subunit ribosomal RNA", at positions 331 to 638 of the family's 1533-position model. The record is from RNAcentral.
UUGGACCUACGGGAGGCAGCAGUGGGGGAUAUUGCACAAUGGGGGAAACCCUGAUGCAGCGACGCCGCGUGAGUGAAGAAGUAUUUCGGUAUGUAAAGCUCUAUCGGCAGGGAAGAAAAAAAUGACAGUACCUGACUAAGAAGCCCCGGCUAACUACGUGCCAGCAGCCGCGGUAAUACGUAGGGGGCAAGCGUUAUCCGGAUUUAUUGGGGGUAAAGGGAGCGUAGACGGCGAUGCAAGUCUGCAGUGAAAGGCGGGGGCCCAACCCCCGGAAUGCCUUGGAAACUGUUU